UCAUUGAGUUCAAUAGAAUCACAUCCCGAAUCUAGAUACCGAAGUAUCUAUCCGAUGAAUGUGGUACUUUACCGGAUCUCCUUAAUGGUGCCUCUACAAUGGAUUUUAGAUUUGAUCUAAUCAAAUUUGGUUCAUAGGUUCACCAGUUUGUGUCAGAUCUUCUAUCUGUUGAACUCAUAAGUUCCAUAUUAAAGGCAUCAGUACCUUCACCA
This 212-nucleotide long non-coding RNA is filed under the name Elaeis guineensis (African oil palm). RNAcentral describes it as "long non-coding RNA (EGUI_LNC044706)". The record is from RNAcentral. Lineage: Eukaryota; Viridiplantae; Streptophyta; Magnoliopsida; Arecales; Arecaceae.